UACGGGGGGGGCAAGCGUUGUUCGGAAUUCCUGGGCGUAAAGGGCUCGUAGGUGGCCAACUAAGUCAGACGUGAAAUCCCUCGGCUUAACCGGGGAACUGCGUCUGAUACUGGAUGGCUUGAGUUCGGGAGAGGGAUGCGGAAUUCCAGGUGUAGCGGUGAAAUGCGUAGAUAUCUGGAGGAACACCGGUGGCGAAGGCGGCAUCCUGGACCGACACUGACACUGAGGAGCGAAAGCCAGGGGAGCAAACGGG
RNAcentral lists this ribosomal RNA (253 nucleotides) under uncultured bacterium. RNAcentral's name for it is "partial 16S ribosomal RNA". It matches the Rfam family "Bacterial small subunit ribosomal RNA", at positions 524 to 776 of the family's 1533-position model. The record is from RNAcentral.